GCUGGGUGUGAUGGCUCAUGCCUGUAAUCCUAGCAUUUUGAGAGGCUGAGGUGGGAGGAUCCCUUGAGCCCAGGAGUUCCAGGUUGCAGUGAGCUAUGAUUGUGCCACUGCAUCCUGCCCUGGGCAACAGAGUGAGACCCUGUUUCGA
Unclassified non-coding RNA from Pongo abelii (Sumatran orangutan), 148 nucleotides. It matches the Rfam family "Metazoan signal recognition particle RNA". Rfam says of the family: The signal recognition particle (SRP) is a universally conserved ribonucleoprotein. It is involved in the co-translational targeting of proteins to membranes. NCBI's taxonomy places the organism in Eukaryota, Metazoa, Chordata, Mammalia, Primates, Hominidae. The record is from Ensembl.